AUUGUUCUACAGCGCGAUACCCAGUUGGUUUUCCUUUUUGUUUGUUAUUCUUUUCUGUGAUGUAUUUUCGUGUAAGUGCAAGUAUUUUAUCAUCAGUCGCCAUUUAACGUAGAUAACGUUAAACAUGCGUGUUUUUACAGUAAGAGAAGCGACAUGCAUGACGGGGAUGAUAAAAUAAUCAAUAAGAAGUUUGAAUCUUUAAAAAUAAAUGAAUGCUGAACCCCAAAGAAGCCAACCAAAGAUGAGAUGUUUUCUGUACCAAACCACAAAUCAGCAUUUGCUGGUAAUCAUAACAGAUAGCCAAAAGUCAUGUACCACACUUUGUCAACAAUAAAUGCAAUCUGGAUAAAGAAUAAUAUAUUACUGCCUCUUGGAGAACAGCCGACCGUACUCCAGACAGAGACAAAGACGUGAGGACAUCCAUUGCUUUUAAGUCAUGUACCACACUUUGUCAACAAUGCAUGUUGUUCCUGCAAUCUGGAUGAAGAAUAAUAUAUUACUGCCUCUUGGAGAACAGCCGACUGUACUCCAGACAGAGACAAAGACGUGAGGACAUCCAUUGCUUUUAAGUCAUGUACCACACUUUGUCAACAAUGCAUGUUGUUCCUGCAAUCUGGAUGAAGAAUAAUAUAUUACUGCCUCUUGGGAAAACAGCAGACUGUACUCCAGACAGCUCCAGACAGAGACAAAGACAUGAAGACAUCCAUUGAUUUUAAGUCCUAUACCAGACUAUGUUGUUCCAGCUGUCUGGGUAAAGACUGAUACAUUACUACCUCUUGGAGAACAGCAAACCAUUCUCCAGACAGAGACAAAGACAUGGACAUCAAAACAGAAAAUAAAGUACUUGAUCUUGGAUUGUUUGGAGUGAAUGCUGGAAAAUAAUGAAGCAGGAAAUGAAAAUGGCUGUAAGAAGUCCUUUGUGUGCACAGACAUGACUGGAGAUUAAAGUUACUAAAUGUUGCUUUUUUUCUAGCUGGUGACAUAACAUUGUAUUAUUUUCAAAUGUAUUUAUCUAACACACAUUUACACAUCUGUAAACAUUCAUUUUAUAUUGCAUGUUUUUUAUAUUUAACCAAUUGUUGUAUAUUGCUUUCUGUUAUUACAUCUGUUUUUUAUUGCAUGUUUAUUGUUUAAAACAAUUAAGUUAAUGUUUCUCUGUUAGCUUUUAUGUUACUUUGGCUAUUUCUUUGCUUUUAUUUGAUCCUUCUACUGUUAUUUGUUUAUUUGGCAGAACAUUUGACAUUUCAUUUAUUUUGCUGUUAUCUGAAAUUGUUCUUGUCAGCAUCAAUAAAACUCUAUAUUUGCUUUAUAUCUGUGUUUUUCAAUUAUACAUUUUACGGUAUAAAUAUAUUUUGGUCACUUUAUGGCUAUUUUCUGGGGCAUCUGGAUAAGUUGCGGGUGGGUUCUGGGGUUAAUAUGGUAAUUUUGGUUAUUUUCUG
Molecule: non-coding RNA, 1439 nt
Organism: Paramisgurnus dabryanus
Lineage: Eukaryota; Metazoa; Chordata; Actinopteri; Cypriniformes; Cobitidae
Source: RefSeq, a predicted model, not a curated record